Molecule: long non-coding RNA, 520 nt
Filed under: Mytilus galloprovincialis (Mediterranean mussel)
Lineage: Eukaryota; Metazoa; Mollusca; Bivalvia; Mytilida; Mytilidae
Source: RNAcentral
AAGUAGCCGUGAAUUUUAUUUAAUAGUAUUACAAUUGAAAAAAGUGUCACUCAUUCAGAAUGCUAUUUUACUAUAUCGGGUUGAAAACAAUAAAAAAAAAAUGGGCGAAAUAUACCAAAGGGACAUUCAAACUCGCAAGUCGAAAAUAAACUGACAACGUCAUGAAUAAAAAAAGAAAAAAGAAGACCAAAAGACCAUAUUCAGACAAACAAAUCAUUUAUGACAGCACAUAGUUGCAACUGCCAUAUCUACAUAAAGCAUUGAUGAUAUUAUAAUAAUCUAUAAAAAAAAAAGAUGUGGUAUGAUUGCAAAAAUGAGACAACUAUCCACAAAAGACCAAAAUGACACAGACAUUAACAACUAUAGGUCACCGUACGGCCUUCAACAAUGAGCAAUGCCCAUACCGCAUAGUCAGCUAUAAUAGGCCCCGAAUCUAACCGGUUUCGCAUUGUGUUUGAGCAUAUUAUAUGUAAAGCAUCUUGCAGAUAAUGCAUGUUUGAUUUACUUAGCGCAAAUGCAC